Molecule: ribosomal RNA, 471 nt
Filed under: uncultured bacterium
Lineage: Bacteria
Description: bacterial SSU rRNA
Rfam family: Bacterial small subunit ribosomal RNA
Source: RNAcentral
GUCCAGACUCCUACGGGAGGCAGCAGUGGGGAAUAUUGCGCAAUGGGCGAAAGCCUGACGCAGCGACGCCGCGUGAGGGAUGAAGGUCUUCGGAUCGUAAACCUCUGUCAGCAGGGAAGAACGGUCACUGUGCUAAUCAGCAGUGAAUUGACGGUACCUGCAAAGGAAGCCCCGGCUAACUACGUGCCAGCAGCCGCGGUAAUACGUAGGGGGCAAGCGUUAUCCGGAUUUACUGGGUGUAAAGGGAGCGUAGACGGUUGUGCAAGUCAGAAGUGAAGGCCCGGGGCUCAACUCCGGGACUGCUUUUGAAACUGUGAAACUGGAGUGCAGGAGAGGUAAGCGGAAUUCCUGGUGUAGCGGUGAAAUGCGUAGAUAUCAGGAGGAACACCAGUGGCGAAGGCGGCUUACUGGACUGUAACUGACGUUGAGGCUCGAAAGCGUGGGGAGCAAACAGGAUUAGAUACCCCCGUA